GCAUCGAUGAAGAACGCAGCAAAAUGCGAUACUUGGUGUGAAUUGCAGAAUCCCGUGAAUCAUCGAGUUUUUGAACGCAAGUUGCGCCCGAAGCCUUUUGGCCGAGGGCACGUCUGCCUGGGUGUCACGC
Molecule: ribosomal RNA, 130 nt
Filed under: Plukenetia serrata
Lineage: Eukaryota; Viridiplantae; Streptophyta; Magnoliopsida; Malpighiales; Euphorbiaceae
Description: 5.8S ribosomal RNA
Rfam family: 5.8S ribosomal RNA
About the family: 5.8S ribosomal RNA (5.8S rRNA) is a component of the large subunit of the eukaryotic ribosome. It is transcribed by RNA polymerase I as part of the 45S precursor that also contains 18S and 28S rRNA. Functionally, it is thought that 5.8S rRNA may be involved in ribosome translocation.
Source: RNAcentral